This 111-nucleotide transfer RNA is filed under the name Takifugu rubripes (torafugu). It matches the Rfam family "tRNA". Rfam says of the family: Transfer RNA (tRNA) molecules are approximately 80 nucleotides in length. Their secondary structure includes four short double-helical elements and three loops (D, anti-codon, and T loops). Further hydrogen bonds mediate the characteristic L-shaped molecular structure. tRNAs have two regions of fundamental functional importance: the anti-codon, which is responsible for specific mRNA codon recognition, and the 3' end, to which the tRNAs corresponding amino acid is attached (by aminoacyl-tRNA synthetases). tRNAs cope with the degeneracy of the genetic code in two manners: having more than one tRNA (with a specific anti-codon) for a particular amino acid; and 'wobble' base-pairing, i.e. permitting non-standard base-pairing at the 3rd anti-codon position. The record is from Rfam by way of RNAcentral. Lineage: Eukaryota; Metazoa; Chordata; Actinopteri; Tetraodontiformes; Tetraodontidae.
GUCAGGAUGGCCGAGCGGUCUAAGGCGCCAGACUCAAGAGUGCUCCUCUUCCACCUCAGUGGGACUUCUGGUCUCUGUAAAGAGGCGUGGGUUCAAAUCCCACUCCUGACA